UAUCUUUAUGCUCUUAUCUUU
RNAcentral lists this microRNA (21 nucleotides) under Brugia malayi. RNAcentral describes it as "bma-miR-9533". The record is from miRBase by way of RNAcentral. Lineage: Eukaryota; Metazoa; Nematoda; Chromadorea; Rhabditida; Onchocercidae.